AGAGUUUGAUCCUGGCUCAGAACGAACGCUGGUGGCGUGCUUAAUACAUGCAAGUCGAACGAGAAAGUUGGGCUUCGGCCCGGCGAGUAAAGUGGCGAACGGGUGAGUAACACGUGGAUAAUCUGCCCUCAAAUCUGGGAUAAUCCUUCGAAAGGGGGUCUAAUACCGGAUAACAACUUGAAGUGGCAUCUUUUUAAGUUCAAAGGCGGGGCAACCUGCCGUUUGAGGAUGAGUCCGCGCUCCAUUAGCUUGUUGGUAGGGUAAAAGCCUACCAAGGCUGCGAUGGAUAGCCGGCCUGAGAGGGUGAUCGGCCACACUGGGACUGAGAUACGGCCCAGACUCCUACGGGAGGCAGCAGUAGGGAAUAUUGCGCAAUGGACGAAAGUCUGACGCAGCAACGCCACGUGGGUGAUGAAGCUUCUUGGAGUGUAAAACCCUGUCAGUGGGGAAGAAACGUGAGAAGAGUAACUGCUUCUUGCCUGACGGUACCCGCAGAGGAAGUCCCGGCUAACUCCGUGCCAGCAGCCGCGGUAAUACGGGGGGGACAAGCGUUGUUCGGAUUUACUGGGCGUAAAGGGCGCGUCGGCGGGCCUUCAAGUCGGAUGUGAAAACUCAGGGCUCAACUCUGAGCUUGCAUUCGAUACUGUCGGUCUUGAGUACGGAAGAGGAAAGUGGAAUUCCAGGUGUAGCGGUGAAAUGCGUAGAUAUCUGGAAGAACACCAGUAGCGAAGGCGGCUUUCUGGUCCGAUACUGACGCUUAAGCGCGAAGGCUUGGGGAGCAAACAGGAUUAGAUACCCUGGUAGUCCAAGCGGUAAACGAUGGGUACUAGGUGUCGGGGGUAUCGACCCCCUCGGUGCCGAAGCUAACGCAUUAAGUACCCCGCCUGGGGAGUACGAUCGCAAGAUUGAAACUCAAAGGAAUUGACGGGGGCCCGCACAAGCGGUGGAGUAUGUGGUUUAAUUCGAAGCAACGCGAAGAACCUUACCUGGGUUUGACAUGCUUGAGACCGCUGGUGAAAGCCAGCUUUCCCUUCGGGGACUCUUGCACAGGUGCUGCAUGGCUGUCGUCAGCUCGUGCCGUGAGGUGUUGGGUUAAGUCCCGCAACGAGCGCAACCCUCGUCCAUAGUUGCCAGCUGGUAAUGCAGGGAACUCUAUGGAGACUGCCGGUGAUAAGCCGGAGGAAGGUGGGGAUGACGUCAAGUCCUCAUGGCCCUCACACCCA
This 1223-nucleotide ribosomal RNA is filed under the name metagenome. Its description in RNAcentral is "bacterial SSU rRNA". It matches the Rfam family "Bacterial small subunit ribosomal RNA", at positions 8 to 1210 of the family's 1533-position model. The record is from RNAcentral.